GAUGAACGCUAGCGGCAGGCCUAAUACAUGCAAGUCGAACGGUGUCUUCGGACAUAGUGGCGCACGGGUGCGUAACACGUAUGCAACCUACCUUACAUUGGGGGAUAGCCUUUCGAAAGGGAGAUUAAUACCGCAUAAGACAGUAGCUGGGCAUCCAGCAGCUGUUAAAGAUUUAUCGAUGUAAGCUGGGCAUGCGUCCAAUUAGCUAGUUGGUGAGGUAACGGCUCACCAAGGCAAUGAUUGGUAGGGGAACUGAGAGGUCAAUCCCCCACACUGGCACUGAGAUACGGGCCAGACUCCUACGGGAGGCAGCAGUAGGGAAUAUUGGGCAAUGGACGCAAGUCUGACCCAGCCAUGCCGCGUGCAGGAUGAAGGCGUUAUGCGUUGUAAACUGCUUUUAUAUAGGAAGAAACGACUCUUGCGAGAGGCAUUGACGGUACUGUAUGAAUAAGCACCGGCUAGCUCCGUGCCAGCCGCCGCCGUAA
Molecule: ribosomal RNA, 485 nt
Filed under: uncultured bacterium
Lineage: Bacteria
Description: partial 16S ribosomal RNA
Rfam family: Bacterial small subunit ribosomal RNA
Source: RNAcentral